Molecule: RNase P RNA, 363 nt
Filed under: Gammaproteobacteria bacterium
Lineage: Bacteria; Pseudomonadati; Pseudomonadota; Gammaproteobacteria
Description: RNase P RNA component class A
Rfam family: Bacterial RNase P class A
About the family: Ribonuclease P (RNase P) is a ubiquitous endoribonuclease, found in archaea, bacteria and eukarya as well as chloroplasts and mitochondria. Its best characterised activity is the generation of mature 5'-ends of tRNAs by cleaving the 5'-leader elements of precursor-tRNAs.
Source: RNAcentral
AGAGUCGGCCAUACAGUCGCUGCCCAGCUUGCUGGGGAGAGGAAAGUCCGGGCUCCACAGGGCAAGACGCCAGGUAACGCCUGGGAGGCGUGAGCCUACGGAAAGUGCCACAGAAAUGACACCGCCUAUGUGCCUUCGGGUGCAGGUAAGGGUGAAAUGGUGCGGUAAGAGCGCACCGCGCUGGUGGUAACAUCAGUGGCAGGGUAAACCCCGUCCGGAGCAAGACCAAAUAGGGAAACAGACCGUUCGCGGUCAGGUGUGGCCCACACCGUUUCCGGGUAGGUCGCUUGAGACACGUGGUGACGCGUGUCCUAGAUGAAUGACUGUGCUCGACAGAACCCGGCUUACCGGCCGACUCUUAUU